GGUUCGAUCAUGGCUCAGAUUGAACGCUGGCGGGAUGCUUUACAUGCAAGUCGAACGGCAGCACGGACUUCAGUCCCCGGUGCUGAUGGCGAACGGGUGAGUAAUGUAUCGGAACAUGCCUAGUAGCGGGGGAUAACUACGCGAAAGCGUAGCUAAUACCGCAUACGCCCUUCGGGGAAAGCGGGGGACCUUCGGGCCUCGCACUAUUGAAGCGGCCAGCUAUGGAUUAGCUAGUUGGUGGGGUAACGGCUCACCAAGGCGACGAUCCGUAGCUGGUUUGAAGGGACGACCAGCCACACUGGGACUGAGACACGGCCCAGACUCCUACGGGAGGCAGCAGUGGGAAUUUUGGACAAUGGGGAAACCUGAUCCCAGCCAUCCCGCGUGUGCGAUGAAGGCCUUCGGGUUGUAAAGCACUUUUUGGCAGGAAGAAACGGCACGGGAUAAUACCCCGUGCAACUGACGACACCUGCAGAAUAAGCACCGGUAGCACGAUACAUGGCCGCUUGAUAAUACGCAGGUGCAAGCGUUAAUCGGAAUUACUGGGCGUAAAGCGUGCGCAGGCGGUUCGGAAGAAAAGAUGUGAAAUCCCAGAGCUUAACUUUGGAACUGCAUUUUUAACUACCGAGCUAGAGUGUGUCAGAGGGAGGUGGAAUUCCGCGUGUAGCAGUGAAAUGCGUAGAUGCGGAGGAACACCGAUGGCGAGAGGCAACCUCCUGGGAUAACACUGACGCUCAUGCACGAAAAGCGUGGGAGCAAACAGGAUUAGAUACCCUGGUAGUCCACGCCCUAAACAAUGUCAACUAGCUGUUGGGGCCUUCCGGGCCUUGGUAGCGCAACUAACGCGUGAAGUUGACCGCCUGGGAGGCUACGGUCGCAAGAUUAAAACUCUGGCAAGGAAUUGACGGGGACCCGCACAAGCGGUGGAUGAUGUGGAUUAAUUCGAUGCAACGCGAAAAACCUUACCUACCCUCGACAUGUCUGGAAUCGAAGAGAUUUGGGAGUGCUCGCAAGAGAACCGGAACACAGGUGCUGCAUGGCUGUCGUCGAGCUCGAUGUCGUGAGAUGUUGGGUUAAGUCCCGCAACGAGCGCAACCCUUGUCAUUAGUUGCUACGAAAGGGCACUCUAAUGAGACUGCCGGUGACAAACCGGAGGAAGGUGGGGAUGACGUCAAGUCCUGUGGCCCUUAUGGGUAGGGCUUCACACGUCAUACAAUGGUCGGGACAGAGGGGUCAUCUUCUUCCCGCGAGGGAGCCAAUCCCAGAAACCCGAUCGUAGUCCGGAUCGCAGUCUGCAACUCGACUGCGUGAAGUCGGAAUCGCUAGUAAUCGCGGAUCAGCAUGUCGCGGUGAAUACGUUCCCGGGUCUUGUACACACCGCCGUCACACCAUGGGAGUGGGUUUUUACAAGAAGUAGUUAGCCCUGGCCGUAAGGGGAGGGCGAUUACCACAUUAGGAUUCAUGACUGGGGUGAAGUCAUGGCUGGGUAA
RNAcentral lists this ribosomal RNA (1490 nucleotides) under uncultured Bordetella sp. Its description in RNAcentral is "partial 16S-23S ribosomal RNA intergenic spacer". It matches the Rfam family "Bacterial small subunit ribosomal RNA". Lineage: Bacteria; Pseudomonadati; Pseudomonadota; Betaproteobacteria; Burkholderiales; Alcaligenaceae. The record is from RNAcentral.